GACGAACGCUGGCGGCGGGCUUAACACAUGCAAGUCGAACGGAAAGGCCCUGCUUUUGUGGGGUGCUCGAGUGGCGAACGGGUGAGUAACACGUGAGUAACCUGCCCUUGACUUUGGGAUAACUUCAGGAAACUGGGGCUAAUACCGGAUAGGAUAUCCUGCUGCAUGGUGAGGGUUGGAAAGUUGCGGCGGGUGGGGAUGGACGCGCGGCUUAUGAGCUUGUUGGUGGGUAGUGGCUUACCAAGUCUUUGCCGGGUAGCCGGCCUGAGAGGUGGAACGGCGUCCAUGGGCCUGCGAUACGGCCCAGACGCCUACGGGAGGCAGCAGGGGGGAAUAUUGCACAACGGGCGGAAGCCUGAUGCAGCAACGCCGCGUGCGGGAUGACGGCCUUUGGGUUGUAAACCGCUUUCGCCUGUGACGAAGCGUGAGUGACGGUAAUGGGUAAAGAAGCACCGGCUAACUACGUG
RNAcentral lists this ribosomal RNA (467 nucleotides) under uncultured bacterium. Its description in RNAcentral is "partial 16S ribosomal RNA". It matches the Rfam family "Bacterial small subunit ribosomal RNA", at positions 28 to 507 of the family's 1533-position model. The record is from RNAcentral.